This 485-nucleotide ribosomal RNA is filed under the name Flavobacterium sp. BF.25. RNAcentral's name for it is "bacterial SSU rRNA". It matches the Rfam family "Bacterial small subunit ribosomal RNA", at positions 15 to 500 of the family's 1533-position model. The record is from RNAcentral. Lineage: Bacteria; Pseudomonadati; Bacteroidota; Flavobacteriia; Flavobacteriales; Flavobacteriaceae.
GAUCCCUGGCUCAGGAUGAACGCUAGCGGCAGGCUUAACACAUGCAAGUCGAGGGGUAUAGUUCUUCGGAAUUAGAGACCGGCGCACGGGUGCGUAACGCGUAUGCAAUCUACCUUUUGCAGAGGGAUAGCCCAGAGAAAUUUGGAUUAAUACCUCAUAGUAUAGCAGUUUCGCAUGAAACCACUAUUAAAGUCACAACGGCAAAAGAUGAGCAUGCGUCCCAUUAGCUAGUUGGUAAGGUAACGGCUUACCAAGGCUACGAUGGGUAGGGGUCCUGAGAGGGAGAUCCCCCACACUGGUACUGAGACACGGACCAGACUCCUACGGGAGGCAGCAGUGAGGAAUAUUGGACAAUGGGCGCAAGCCUGAUCCAGCCAUGCCGCGUGCAGGAUGACGGUCCUAUGGAUUGUAAACUGCUUUUGUACAGGAAGAAACACUCCCUCGUGAGGGAGCUUGACGGUACUGUAAGAAUAAGGAUCGGCUAA